CGAUACACCGGUAUCAAAUAAAGCGCGAAUUCUAAUGACAUCAAGUAAAAUGAUACCUGCGACCACAUCCUCGGCUGCUGCCGCCUCCUCGGUCUGAGCGGCGUACAUGCGCCCACUCGGGGCCUGUCGAGAUCCCUCGCUCUGGCGCUGGACGGGUGGCCGCCCAGGUUGGUACUGUGCCGAUGGAGUCCCCUGGCUGGCGGCUGGUAGAGCCGGUGCCGAUGCAGUCGACGGUGCCGGUGAAGAACCUCUUGGGCACUCAGUACGGACGUGGCCCUCCUGGCCACACUGGAAGCACCUGCCCGCCCGCUGUGGACAUUGCGGCGGGUAAUGAGGACCACCGUAGAUCACACACGGGGAAGGCCGGCGAUGAUCGGAUCCUCCUCGAUGCGCUGCUGAGCCGC
Molecule: long non-coding RNA, 404 nt
Filed under: Ananas comosus (pineapple)
Lineage: Eukaryota; Viridiplantae; Streptophyta; Magnoliopsida; Poales; Bromeliaceae
Description: long non-coding RNA (ACOM_LNC040839)
Source: RNAcentral